GACCUGGGCAACCCCGGCUCGGAGGUCCCGGGGCUGGGUCUCCCGGAGGCCUUGGGAGCGAGGCCUGGGCGGGGUCCGGUUUGGCUUGCUCGGGGAGAGCGGGGUUGGAGCCCAGGCAGCCGGAGCGGAACCAAGCCCCGCUCCGAGUGCCACGUCUCCAGGAACCCCCUCCUUACUCUUGGACAACACUCCGCCCCACCCGGGCCGCCGUCCCCCAAACUACCCCUAUUUGUGCUGCCCCAGAUCCUUUGGACACAUCCUCAGGGGGCUCCCUCCUCAUCCGCCCCCUCCGUCCGCAGGCCUCAUUCGGCGAGCCCGCCCCGCCCCCGGCCUGCGCCCCAGAUCUGCAGCCUUCGCCCCUAGAUCCGCCCGCCUGGUGAUGAGGCGCUCCCCGCGUUCCUUCCGGUCUCGGCGACGGGACGACCACGCUCCAGGGUUGCGAACUAGGGGAGCGACUUUCUCCCUUCCCCUCCCACCUCCAGCCGCCAGUCCCCCGCGCUCUCCCGGGGGACGGGGCUCCGGGACGGAGGGCCGGCCCGGCUCCCCAGCAGCCUGGGAGGGGGCGGUGGCCCGCGCAGCACGUAGCGCACGUGUAGGGGCCGCUCUCCACCCCCUCCGCAGCCCGCGGCCUCCGACCACUCUCCUGGGCUCCGGGUGUCUGCGGUGCGCCUGCCUUCCGCCCCGAACCCCCAGUGUCUGCGCCCUCCAAACACUGCACCCCUUCUCACACCACCCUUCCCUUCCCAGCCCUGCUGAUCCUCUCCUCUCUUUCUCCCUUCCCCCCAAUUUCCCCAGUGCACGGGCCUUUCCUCAGACUCUUCACAGUUUGUCUCAGCUCCUCCGAUUCAAUGCCAUCUUCUCUCUCCCCCACCACUUUUGGUGUCCUGGAAUGUUUGGUGUCAGAUGUCCCCUGUGGAAACCCACAAUCCAUGAGAUCUCG
RNAcentral lists this long non-coding RNA (940 nucleotides) under Lynx pardinus (Iberian lynx). The record is from RNAcentral. Lineage: Eukaryota; Metazoa; Chordata; Mammalia; Carnivora; Felidae.